ACUGGUCACUUCCUGCUGAGAAAUAUGUCAGGAGAUCUCCUCCUUGGGGGGGGGGGUGUACGGAAACAUCCCAAAUGCUGUUUGCAGCAGCACCGUCCUGUCAGCAGUUCCAAGAGGGUGUCCAUUUGCACUAUUCAGGUGACCCUGGGGGCACAGAUAAACCUCCAAGUGGCCUCAACGACUGCCAGAAAGAAAGCCCAGUUGGAUGAGAGAUGAAAUGUCCCCAAGGAAAAACAAGAAAGUACUGCU
This is a long non-coding RNA of Crotalus tigris (Tiger rattlesnake), 249 nucleotides long. RefSeq lists it as uncharacterized. NCBI's taxonomy places the organism in Eukaryota, Metazoa, Chordata, Lepidosauria, Squamata, Viperidae. The transcript is spliced from 2 exons. The record is from RefSeq and is a predicted model, not a curated record.